GGACACAGAGAUUUCCUUCUGAGUCAAUAUUAGGCUCUUUCAAGUAACUGUGUUACCUAGACUCAAUUUCAGGAAGUGUGUGUUUGCUCGAGCCUGCAUCAUUUAUUGGAGGGAGUACCUGGGUUCAAAUGCCAGAUACAGUUUUCUGAUGGUGCAGCCCAUGGGAGGCAGUACUGAUGGCUCAGAUGAUGGGGUUCCUGUCUACCAUGUAGGAGACCUGAAUUGAGUUCCAGACUCCCAGCUUCAGCCUCAGCAUGCUUCCUGCCUGUAGUCUGGAAAAGCAACGGAGGAUGGCCCAAAACCUUGGGACCCUGCACCCAUGUGGGAGACCUAAAAGAAGCUCCUGGCUCCUGGCUUUGACUGGUUCAGCUCCAGGUGCUGUGUAGUCAUUUGGGAAGUGAAUCAGUGCACGGAAGACCUUCUCUUUCUCUCUCUCUGCCUCUCCCUCUUUCUCUGUAGCUCUGCCUUUUGAGUA
Ochotona princeps (American pika) is the source of this 475-nucleotide long non-coding RNA. RefSeq lists it as uncharacterized. NCBI's taxonomy places the organism in Eukaryota, Metazoa, Chordata, Mammalia, Lagomorpha, Ochotonidae. The record is from RefSeq and is a predicted model, not a curated record. The transcript has 2 exons.